This 1667-nucleotide ribosomal RNA is filed under the name human oral metagenome. RNAcentral's name for it is "bacterial LSU rRNA". It matches the Rfam family "Bacterial large subunit ribosomal RNA", at positions 830 to 2482 of the family's 2925-position model. The record is from RNAcentral.
CAAUCGAACGUGGAGAUAGCUGGUUCUCCCCGAAAUAGCUUUAGGGCUAGCCUCAUGGCAAGAGUGCAGGCGGUAGAGCACUGAACAGGGUAGGGGCCUAUCCGGCUACCGAACCUAAUCAAACUACGAAUGGCUGUACUUAUCCAUGGGAGUCAGACUGCGAGUGAUAAGACCCGUAGUCAAGAGGGAAACAGCCCAGACCAACAGCUAAGGUCCCCAAUGCCGUACUAAGUGGUAAAGGAUGUGGAGUUUCGAAAACAACCAGGAUGUUGGCUUAGAAGCAGCCACCAUUAAAAGAGUGCGUAAUAGCUCACUGGUCGAGAGACUCUGCGCCGAAGAUGACCGGGGCUAAAGUACGGAACCGAAGCUUUGGCAUGUAUGUAAAUACAUGGGUAGGGGAGCGUUCCUGCAUGGGCGAAGCCUGACCGGAAGGACAGGUGGACAGGCAGGAAGUGAGAAUGCCGGUAUGAGUAGCGAAAAGAAAGGUGAGAAUCCUUUCCACCGAAAGCCUAAGGGUUCCUGGGCAACGAUCGUCGACCCAGGGUAAGUCGGGACCUAAUCCGAGGCGAAGACGCAUAGGAGAUGGACAACAGGUUGAAAUUCCUGUACCGACGUCGUCUGUUUGAGCGAUGGAGUGACACAAGAAGGAAAGUUCGCAUGCGAUUGGAAGAGCAUGUCUAAGCAGGUAGGUUGAAUACCAGGCAAAUCCGGUAUUCUAAAAGCCGAGAAGUGAUAGGGAGCCUGUAGAAAUACAGGUGAAGGAACCGGGACUCGAUUGUCAAGAAAAGCUUCUAGUGAGGACGACGCCGCCCGUACCAAAACCGACACAGGUAGGCAAGAAGAGAAUUCUAAGGUGCGCGGGAAAACCCUCGUUAAGGAACUCGGCAAAAUGUAUCCGUAACUUCGGGAAAAGGAUAACCCAGAGUACGUGAAGGAAAGAAACAUCCGGAGCGGGAAUGGGUGGCACAAGAGAGGCCCAAGCGACUGUUUACCACAAACACAGGCGUCUGCUAAAGAGAAAUCUGAUGUAUAGAUGCUGACACCUGCCCGGUGCUGGAAGGUUAAGAGGACGUGUUAGCCGCAAGGCGAAGCAGAGAAUUGAAGCCCCAGUAAACGGCGGCCGUAACUAUAACGGUCCUAAGGUAGCGAAAUUCCUUGUCGGGUAAGUUCCGACCCGCACGAAAGGUGUAACGAUUUGGGCACUGUCUCAACGAGGGACCCGGUGAAAUUGAAGUACCUGUGAAGAUGCAGGUUACCCGCGACUGGACAGAAAGACCCCAUGGAGCUUUACUGUAACCUGAGAUUGAAUUUUGGUAGAAGAUGUACAGGAUAGUUGGGAGACGUAGAAGCGCGCACGCCAGUGUACGCAGAGUCGAUGGUGGGAUACCAACCUUGUUUUAUUGAAAUUCUAACGAGAGCCGUAACGAGGCUGCGGACAGUCUCAGGCGGGCAGUUUGACUGGGGCGGUCGCCUCCGAAAGAGCAACGGAGGCGCCCAAAGGUUCCCUCAGCGCGGACGGAAACCGCGCGAAGAGUGUAAAGGCAGAAGGGAGCUUGACUGCGAGACGGACAGGUCGAGCAGGGACGAAAGUCGGGCUUAGUGAUCCGGUGGUAGAGAGUGGAAUUGCCAUCGCUCAACGGAUAAAAGCUACCCUGGGGAUAACAGGC